GACGGAGGAUGCAAGUGUUAUCCGGAAUUAUUGGGCGUAAAGCGUCCGCAGGUGGCUGUUCAAGUCUGCUGUCAAAGCGCAGAGCUUAACUCUGUACAGGCGGUGGAAACUGAAGAGCUAGAGUAUGGUAGGGGUAGAGGGAAUUCCCGGUGUAGCGGUGAAAUGCGUAGAUAUCGGGAAGAACACCAGUGGCGAAAGCGCUCUACUGGGCCAUAACUGACACUGAGGGACGAAAGCUAGGGGAGCGAAAGGG
Molecule: ribosomal RNA, 253 nt
Filed under: uncultured bacterium
Lineage: Bacteria
Description: partial 16S ribosomal RNA
Rfam family: Bacterial small subunit ribosomal RNA
Source: RNAcentral